Molecule: ribosomal RNA, 253 nt
Filed under: uncultured bacterium
Lineage: Bacteria
Description: partial 16S ribosomal RNA
Rfam family: Bacterial small subunit ribosomal RNA
Source: RNAcentral
UACGGGGGGGGCAAGCGUUGUUCGGAAUUACUGGGCGUAAAGGGCCAGUAGGCGGCCAACUAAGUCCGACGUGAAAUCCCAAGGCUUAACCUUGGAACUGCGUCGGAUACUGGAUGGCUUGAAUUCGGGAGAGGGAUGCAGAAUUCCAGGUGUAGCGGUGAAAUGCGUAGAUAUCUGGAGGAACACCGGUGGCGAAGGCGACGUCCUGGACCAAUACUGACGCUCAUGUGCGAAAGCGUGGGGAGCAAACAGG